RNAcentral lists this ribosomal RNA (1031 nucleotides) under Termitogeton planus. RNAcentral describes it as "16S ribosomal RNA". The stretch from base 591 to 961 matches the Rfam family "Bacterial large subunit ribosomal RNA", at positions 2073 to 2647 of the family's 2925-position model. Lineage: Eukaryota; Metazoa; Arthropoda; Insecta; Blattodea; Rhinotermitidae. The record is from RNAcentral.
CGUCUUUGGGGGUUUCUGGUUUUUCAAGAAAUGAAUUUAAUUCAUGCGCUUUGUUUAAUUUUUGCUGUUGGUUUAUUUUUUUUUAUUUGGUGUUAAGAUUGCGGGGGAUUAGCUCUUCAGUUUUUUUAUAACUUUUGUUUUGUAUCUAUUCUUGUGGAUUUUAAGUUGGUUUUCUAUAUGAUUAUGUUAAAAUUUCAUUUGUUUUGUUUUUUAUUUUUAUUUGUUUAAUUAUUUAUUGGAAUGGUUUCUUUACUUUUUUUUGGUUUGUAAUUAUUGUAGAAUUAGUAAAUUUCUGUUUUGGUUUGUUUAAUGCGAUUGUUUAAUUGUUAUUUUCUUCUGAGGAAUUAGGCAAGGAUUUGGUGCUCGCCUGUUUAACAAAAACAUCGCCUCUUGUUAGUUUUUGAGGUAUGGCCUGCCCACUGAUUUUUGUUGGUUGAAGGGCCGCGGUAUUUUGACCGUGCAAAGGUAGCAUAAUCAUUAGUUCUUUAAUUGUGAUCUGGUAUGAAUGGUUCGACGAGGUGCAGUCUGUCUUAGGGUUAGUUAGGAUUUGUUGUUGAUUUUAGUUUUUGAGUUAAAAUUCUUAAAUGUUUUUAUGGGACGAGAAGACCCUAUAGAGUUUGACAUACGCUUUUUGUUUUGUAGUUGGUUUGGAUUUAAAUUUACUUUUCGGUGUGUUUUGUUGGGGUGAUGGGAAGGCUUUUUUUAACCCUUCCUUGUUGGGUUUAAUAUUUAUUAGUAGUUGUUUGAUCCUCUUUUUGUGAUUGUAAGAUUAAAUUACCUUAGGGAUAACAGCGUUAUCUUCCCUGAGAGUUCUUAUUGGCGGGGGGGUUUGCGACCUCGAUGUUGGAUUAAGGUUAAUUUCCGGUGUAGGGGCUGGUUGUGGAUUAGGUCUGUUCGACCUUUAAAAUCUUACAUGAUCUGAGUUCAGACCGGCGUGAGCCAGGUUGGUUUCUAUCUAUAAUUUUUUUAUAUGUCUUAGUACGAGAGGACCAGGCAUUUGGAAUAAUUUUGUUGUUGGUGGUUUUUAUUAA